This 613-nucleotide long non-coding RNA is filed under the name Strigops habroptila (Kakapo). RNAcentral's name for it is "lncRNA (ENSSHBG00005007108.1)". The record is from RNAcentral. Lineage: Eukaryota; Metazoa; Chordata; Aves; Psittaciformes; Psittacidae.
UGCCCGAGCUGCGUGAGGGGAUGGUUUCCUUUUUCAUCUUACCUUCGUCUGCCCGUGGAUGGGUUCCCGCUCCUCUGGGAGGCCGUGGGCAGAGCCGUCCGCUCUCCACUGCGGGAGGCUCGGAGCCGGUGUCCCGGGAAAAAAAUUAGGUUCAGAGGCGUUUAGUGACUUGUCCAAAGGCAUGUGCAAGUGCAGUGGCAACAUCAAGCCAGUGAUCCAACCUUAAUCCAGAGCAGGAGCCCCCAAACAGACUGUCAUGGGUUUCCAUCCAGAAAUGACAGAAAUGGAUCACAGCUGCAGUGCGACUGUAGCAGGAUCUUCAGGCCAGUUUGCAGCAGCAGGUUUAGAGGUCAGUAGCUAUGGAUCACAAGAGACACAAAGCACUCAUAUGGAGAGAUCCCAACAUUCAUUUUUUCAUGAACACAAGUCUUACCUAGGGACACUGCACUGAGUCAGGGUCAGUGCAGAGCACUACACCUUGCAGGACUAGGUCCUUUGCUGAUUUUUAUGCAUCUGCUCAGGUUUAGUUUUGUUCAAAAUGUUAUAACAGUAUUUCCAAGCUCAGAUAAACCAUUUAAAACGUGGAAACAAUAAAUGCCUGUUGGACAAGCAA